UACGGGGGGGGCAAGCGUUGUUCGGAAUUACUGGGCGUAAAGGGCUCGUAGGCGGCCAACUAAGUCGGAUGUGAAAUCCCCAGGCUCAACCUGGGAACUGCAUCCGAUACUGGAUGGCUUGAAUUCGGGAGAGGGAUGCAGAAUUCCAGGUGUAGCGGUGAAAUGCGUAGAUAUCUGGAGGAAUACCGGUGGCGAAGGCAGCCCCCUGGGCCAAUACUGACGCUCAUGCACGAAAGCGUGGGGAGCAAACAGG
This 253-nucleotide ribosomal RNA is filed under the name uncultured bacterium. RNAcentral's name for it is "partial 16S ribosomal RNA". It matches the Rfam family "Bacterial small subunit ribosomal RNA", at positions 524 to 776 of the family's 1533-position model. The record is from RNAcentral.